UUUUUACUUAUUUAUGUUUGCAUUUUAUGUUUAACGUACUUAAAACUUUUUUUGGUAUUUUGUGAAGACAAAUCCAUAUGCUGUUUGGUUAAUGUAUACAGAACACAUUGUGAAAUACAGAUUAUAGAAGAUUCCUCUCAUAGGAAAUUACUGCUUAUAGAAAUGCUGGACAUUUUCAAUAGUGAUUUUGCCUUUAACUUGAAUUGUAGCUUUGGACUUGAAGCUACUACUAAAGGUAACAGGAAUUUUAACAUGCUGACAGUUAAGUACUCAAACGUGUUAACAAGUUACAUUUUAACUUUUACACUGGUAAUUUUUAAAAUUACUUUGUUACUUGGAGUGAAAGAUUAGUAACCUGUAUAACAGUUUUCCAAAUCAAUUGUCAACUGAAAAUGUGAUAACACCAAUUGACGUCUUGUUCUGUGUCUUAGCUUGAUGAAGAAAUCUCUGGAAUUGUGGAAGUGGUUGGAAGAGUAACCGCCAAGGCCACCAUCUUGUGUACAUCUUAUGUCCAGUUUAAAGAAGAUAACCAUCCUUUUGAUCUUGGACUUUACAAUGAAGCUGUGAAAAUUAUCCAUGAGUUCCCUCAGUUUUAUCCUUUAGGGAUUGUGCAACAUGAUUGAUCUUGAUGGAUUUUC
Molecule: small RNA, 638 nt
Filed under: Pongo abelii (Sumatran orangutan)
Lineage: Eukaryota; Metazoa; Chordata; Mammalia; Primates; Hominidae
Description: retained intron
Source: RNAcentral